Molecule: ribosomal RNA, 468 nt
Filed under: uncultured bacterium
Lineage: Bacteria
Description: partial 16S ribosomal RNA
Rfam family: Bacterial small subunit ribosomal RNA
Source: RNAcentral
GACGAACGCUGGCGGCGUGCUUAACACAUGCAAGUCGAACGGAAAGGCCCUGCUUUUUUGUUGUUCUCGAGUUGCUAACGUGUGAUUAACCCUUGAGUAACCUUCCCUUGACUUUGUGAUAUCUUCAGGAAACUGGUUCUAAUACCUGAUAGCAUCUCCUUCUGCAUGUUGUUGGUUUGAAAUUUUCGGCGGUUGGGUAUCGACUCGCGGCUUAUCAGCUUUUUGGUUUGGUAGUUGCUUACCAAGGCUUUGACGGGUAGCCGGCCUGAGAGGGUGACCGGACACAUUGGGACUGAGAUAGGGACCAGAGUGCAACGGGAGGCAGCAGGGGGGAAUAUUGCACAAUGGGAGGAAGCCUGAUGAAGAAACGCCGCGUGCGGGAUGACGGCCUUCGGGUUGUAAAAAGCAUGAGCAUGAGACGAAGCGUGAGUGACGGUAAUGGGUAAAGAAGCACCGGCUAACUACGUG